UAUGGUAAUGCAAUGGAUGCUCACCUACCAUUCUUAAUCUACCAAGUAACUUUAAUUUUCCUGGUAAAUAAGUGAAACGUAUGUUGAUGGUGACUAACUGUCCCGAUUUUACUUCCGUGCCGGAAGGAUCUUGGUAAUCUUGGAACUGCCAAUACUUUAAUUCCAUUUGUAUGUUCGAUUCUAUGGGAUCAUUUUAAGUUUUUAACGAAUUCAACAAGAGCUUCGAUUUUUUUUCACCAGAGAAGUGACCAGCGUCUUGCUUUGAGACUGAAUUUCAAGGAAACAUAACAAAGCUAGCCUUGGAACGAAUAAUUAUACCGAAUGAAAUAUAAUUUAAAAGAUAAAAAAUCAUAAUUAUGCAGCAGCUACUUCUCUCGAAAUAUAUCGUAUAACGCCUUACAAGUAA
This is a long non-coding RNA of Daphnia pulex (common water flea), 406 nucleotides long. RefSeq lists it as uncharacterized. The transcript is spliced from 2 exons. NCBI's taxonomy places the organism in Eukaryota, Metazoa, Arthropoda, Branchiopoda, Diplostraca, Daphniidae. The record is from RefSeq and is a predicted model, not a curated record.